UUAAAUUGAAGAGUUUGAUCAUGGCUCAGAUUGAACGCUGGCGGCAGGCCUAACACAUGCAAGUCGAGCGGUAGCACAGAGAGCUUGCUCUCGGGUGACGAGCGGCGGACGGGUGAGUAAUGUCUGGGAA
RNAcentral lists this ribosomal RNA (130 nucleotides) under Variovorax sp. WS11. RNAcentral describes it as "partial 16S ribosomal RNA". It matches the Rfam family "Bacterial small subunit ribosomal RNA", at positions 1 to 123 of the family's 1533-position model. RNAcentral also lists the same sequence under 1 other name. The record is from RNAcentral. Lineage: Bacteria; Pseudomonadati; Pseudomonadota; Betaproteobacteria; Burkholderiales; Comamonadaceae.